RNAcentral lists this ribosomal RNA (253 nucleotides) under uncultured bacterium. RNAcentral describes it as "partial 16S ribosomal RNA". It matches the Rfam family "Bacterial small subunit ribosomal RNA", at positions 524 to 776 of the family's 1533-position model. The record is from RNAcentral.
UACAGAGGGGGCAAGCGUUGUUCGGAAUUACUGGGCGUAAAGGGCGCGUAGGCGGCCUGUUAAGUCGAACGUGAAAUCCCCGGGCUCAACCCGGGAACUGCGUCCGAUACUGGCAGGCUUGAAUCCGGGAGAGGGAUGCGGAAUUCCAGGUGUAGCGGUGAAAUGCGUAGAUAUCAGGAGGAACACCGGUGGCGAAGGCGGGUCUCUGGGCCGUAACUGACGCUGAGGAGCGAAAGCGUGGGGAGCGAACAGG